GACGAACGCUGGCGGCGUGCUUAACACAUGCAAGUCGAACGGAAAGGCCCCUUUGGGGGUCCUCGAGUGGCGAACGGGUGAGUAACACGUGAGUAACCUGCCCUUGACUUCGGGAUAACUUCAGGAAACUGGGGCUAAUACCGGAUAGGAAUCCUUGCUGCAUGGUGGGGGUUGGAAAGCUUCGGCGGUUUUGGAUGGACUCCCGGCUUAUCAGCUUGUUGGUGGGGUAGUGGCUUACCAAGGCUUUGACGGGUAGCCGGCCUGAGAGGGCGACCGGCCACAUUGGGACUGAGAUACGGCCCAGACUCCUACGGGAGGCAGCAGUGGGGAAUAUUGCACAAUGGGCGGAAGCCUGAUGCAGCAACGCCGCGUGCGGGAUGACGGCCUUCGGGUUGUAAACCGCUUUCAGCAGGGGCGAAGCUUGUGGUGACGGUACCUGCAGAAGAAGCACCGGCUAACUACGUG
RNAcentral lists this ribosomal RNA (465 nucleotides) under uncultured bacterium. RNAcentral describes it as "partial 16S ribosomal RNA". It matches the Rfam family "Bacterial small subunit ribosomal RNA", at positions 28 to 507 of the family's 1533-position model. The record is from RNAcentral.